GUGGGCUAUGGGGACAUGUGCCCAACCACCCCGGGGGGGAAAAUUGUGGGCACUCUAUGUGCCAUCGCAGGGGUCCUCACCAUCGCCCUCCCCGUGCCUGUCAUUGUCUCCAAC
Molecule: regulatory RNA element, 114 nt
Organism: Camelus ferus (Wild Bactrian camel)
Lineage: Eukaryota; Metazoa; Chordata; Mammalia; Artiodactyla; Camelidae
Rfam family: Potassium channel RNA editing signal
About the family: This family represents a group of sequences related to the human potassium channel Kv1.1 hairpin element which directs the efficient modification of an adenosine to inosine by an adenosine deaminase acting on RNA (ADAR). The ADAR modification causes an isoleucine/valine recoding event which lies in the ion-conducting pore of the potassium channel.
Source: Rfam